GCAUUGGUGAUUCAGUGGUAGAAUUCUCACCUGCAAUUCAGGAGGCCCAGGUUUGAUUCCCGGCCAAUGCA
Molecule: transfer RNA, 71 nt
Filed under: Scleropages formosus (Asian bonytongue)
Lineage: Eukaryota; Metazoa; Chordata; Actinopteri; Osteoglossiformes; Osteoglossidae
Rfam family: tRNA
About the family: Transfer RNA (tRNA) molecules are approximately 80 nucleotides in length.
Source: Rfam by way of RNAcentral